This 253-nucleotide ribosomal RNA is filed under the name uncultured bacterium. RNAcentral's name for it is "partial 16S ribosomal RNA". It matches the Rfam family "Bacterial small subunit ribosomal RNA", at positions 524 to 776 of the family's 1533-position model. The record is from RNAcentral.
UACGUAGGGUGCAAGCGUUGUCCGGAAUUACUGGGCGUAAAGGGCGCGUAGGCGGCCUGUCAAGUCAACUGUGAAAUCUCCGGGCUUAACUCGGAACGGUCAGUUGAUACUGUCAGGCUAGAGUGCAGAAGGGGCAAUCGGAAUUCUUGGUGUAGCGGUGAAAUGCGUAGAUAUCAAGAGGAACACCUGAGGUGAAGACGGGUUGCUGGGCUGACACUGACGCUGAGGCGCGAAAGCCAGGGGAGCAAACGGG